This 253-nucleotide ribosomal RNA is filed under the name uncultured bacterium. RNAcentral's name for it is "partial 16S ribosomal RNA". It matches the Rfam family "Bacterial small subunit ribosomal RNA", at positions 524 to 776 of the family's 1533-position model. The record is from RNAcentral.
UACGUAGGUGGCGAGCGUUGUCCGGAUUUACUGGGCGUAAAGAGCGCGCAGGCGGCUGGUCAAGUCCGAUGUGAAAGCUCCCGGCUUAACUGGGAAAUUGCAUCGGAAACUGAUCGGCUGGAAGGUGGGAGAGGGUAGCGGAAUUCCCGGUGUAGUGGUGAAAUGCGUAGAGAUCCGGAGGAACACCGAAGGCGAAGGCAGUGUCCUGGCGAGUGACUGACGCUGAGGUGCGAAAGCCAGGGGAGCGAACGGG